GAUGAACGCUGGCGGCGUGCCUAAUACAUGCAAGUCGAGCGAACAGACGAGGACCUUGCUCCUCUGACGUUAGCGGCGGACGGGUGAGUAACACGUGGAUAACCUACCUAUAAGACUGGGAUAACUUCGGGAAACCGGAGCUAAUACCGGAUAAUAUAUUGAACCGCAUGGUUCAAUAGUGAAAGACGGUUUUGCUGUCACUUAUAGAUGGAUCCGCGCCGCAUUAGCUAGUUGGUAAGGUAACGGCUUACCAAGGCAACGAUGCGUAGCCGACCUGAGAGGGUGAUAGGCCACACUGGAACUGAGACACGGUCCAGACUCCUACGGGAGGCAGCAGUAGGGAAUCUUCCGCAAUGGGCGAAAGCCUGACGGAGCAACGCCGCGUGAGUGAUGAAGGUCUUCGGAUCGUAAAACUCUGUUAUUAGGGAAGAAUAAAUGUGUAAGUAACUAUGCACGUCUUGACGGUACCUAAUCAGAAAGCCACGGCUAACUACGUG
Molecule: ribosomal RNA, 497 nt
Filed under: uncultured bacterium
Lineage: Bacteria
Description: partial 16S ribosomal RNA
Rfam family: Bacterial small subunit ribosomal RNA
Source: RNAcentral